GUUUUAUAUAAGUUAAAUGCACAAACGUGCAACAUUAAAUAUCCCCAUGUGACAAUAGUAAUUGCUGUACAAUCAAUGUCAGGAAAAAAAACUGGUAAUACAGUUAGUACAGUGGAUAACAGAAGUAUAAUUAUUGUUGAACUUUCCUCCAGUAAAAUGUCAGUAGCUGAAUUUGACCUCACUUCAGAGUGUGACUUGACCUCAGAGAAGAGUAUCCUUUGGGUAAAAUGGUUGAUCGGGAUCCAGAGUAAAUCAUUGAGUGCUAAUGGGUACCUUAAGGGUUCACAUGAUUGAUUGAUUGAGUCAUCACUGACGAAGUCAUCUAGAGAACAACACUAAUUGGUGAAAAGUUGGAUUGUGGAGAUAAAAUGUAUUCAGACCCUAUUCCUGAGAUUUAAAAUGAGGUUGCAUUAAAUAGAAUUUGAGUUCUACUCUUUAUCAUUUUACCUAACAGUACGUCUAUUCCAUUGUUUUGUUUCUAAAUGGAUGAGAAUGAAGAGGUUGGUUUCCAUGUUGUCCACAAGCUAUUGACUAAGUCAUCUAAUUCAACUAAUUUUAAUUCGUAUCUCUGAAUAAUUCUGCUCUGGGAGAUAAGAAUUCUCCUUGUAUAGUCAGUGUUCCAGCAGUUCAGCAGCAGCUUUUUAUGCAGAAUAAGAUUAAAGACAUAAAUUGUCUUGUAUUUUUAGUGUUUAUCACUGUCAUGCAAUGGAGGACUUGUCAAAACUCACAGUGUAAGGCUUCUU
Molecule: non-coding RNA, 743 nt
Organism: Pelobates cultripes (western spadefoot toad)
Lineage: Eukaryota; Metazoa; Chordata; Amphibia; Anura; Pelobatidae
Source: the annotation of a GenBank genome assembly